AAGUCGUAACAAGGUUUCCGUAGGUGAACCUGCGGAAGGAUCAUUAAUUAUAUUGAAUAAUAUCCAUACCUUUACCAUUCAUAUUCUAAUGAAUAUAGAUGAUUAUAGUGGGAGGAGGAUAAUAAUAAUUUAUUAUUAUUUUACUACUAGUAUUAUUUAUAUUUAUUAGGGUUGAACUUUUUUUAUUAUUUCUCUCUUUUAUAUAUUAUCAGUAAAAUGAUAUGUUAUUUUAGAGAUUUUGUUGUUGUACAAAAAAGUUUUUGAAUUUUAUUAAAUUUAUGUGUUAAUAUAAUUCAAAACACUCUUUUAUAUGACAACUUUAAACUUAAAUCAAAUUAUUUUUUAUAAUAUACAAACUUUAAUAUUCUCAGUUUUAUAAUAAUUUUAUAACAACUAAUAACAAUGGAUCUCUUGGCACU
This 419-nucleotide unclassified non-coding RNA is filed under the name fungal sp. RNAcentral describes it as "partial internal transcribed spacer region". The stretch from base 1 to 46 matches the Rfam family "Eukaryotic small subunit ribosomal RNA", at positions 1786 to 1831 of the family's 1831-position model. Lineage: Eukaryota; Fungi. The record is from RNAcentral.